This 164-nucleotide ribosomal RNA is filed under the name Streptanthus tortuosus. RNAcentral describes it as "5.8S ribosomal RNA". It matches the Rfam family "5.8S ribosomal RNA". Rfam says of the family: 5.8S ribosomal RNA (5.8S rRNA) is a component of the large subunit of the eukaryotic ribosome. Lineage: Eukaryota; Viridiplantae; Streptophyta; Magnoliopsida; Brassicales; Brassicaceae. The record is from RNAcentral.
AAAACGACUCUCGGCAACGGAUAUCUCGGCUCUCGCAUCGAUGAAGAACGUAGCGAAAUGCGAUACUUGGUGUGAAUUGCAGAAUCCCGUGAACCAUCGAGUCUUUGAACGCAAGUUGCGCCCCAAGCCUUCUGGCCGAGGGCACGUCUGCCUGGGUGUCACAU